This 56-nucleotide ribosomal RNA is filed under the name Pseudomonas fluorescens. RNAcentral describes it as "partial 23S ribosomal RNA". The record is from RNAcentral. Lineage: Bacteria; Pseudomonadati; Pseudomonadota; Gammaproteobacteria; Pseudomonadales; Pseudomonadaceae.
GGUCAAGUGAAGAAGCGCAUACGGUGGAUGCCUUGGCAAAUCGAAUUCCCGCGGCC